Molecule: unclassified non-coding RNA, 594 nt
Filed under: Rhizosphaera kalkhoffii
Lineage: Eukaryota; Fungi; Ascomycota; Dothideomycetes; Dothideales; Dothideaceae
Description: sequence contains 18S rRNA gene, ITS1, 5.8S rRNA gene, ITS2, 28S rRNA gene
Rfam family: 5.8S ribosomal RNA (bases 225-378)
Source: RNAcentral
UCGUAACAAGGUUUCCGUAGGUGAACCUGCGGAAGGAUCAUUAAAGAGAUAGGGUCUUCAUGGCCCGACCUCCAACCCUCUGUUGUUAAAACUACCUUGUUGCUUUGGCGGGACCGUCUCGGUCUCCGAGCGCACUAACCCUCGGGUUGGUGAGCGCCCGCCAGAGUCCAACCAAACUCUUGUAUUAAACCAGUCGUCUGAGUAUAAAAUUUUAAUUAAAUUAAAACUUUCAACAACGGAUCUCUUGGUUCUCGCAUCGAUGAAGAACGCAGCGAAAUGCGAUAAGUAAUGUGAAUUGCAGAAUUCAGUGAAUCAUCGAAUCUUUGAACGCACAUUGCGCCCCUUGGUAUUCCGAGGGGCAUGCCUGUUCGAGCGUCAUUACACCACUCAAGCAUCGCUUGGUAUUGGGAACGGUCCGUCGCAAGGCGGGCCUUCCUCGAAGACCUCGGCGGGGUUCAACCAACUUCGGGCGUAGUAGAGUUAAAUCGAACGUCUUAUAAGUUUGGUCGGAUCUCAUUGCCGUUAAACCUUUAAAUUUUCUAGGUUGACCUCGGAUCAGGUAGGGAUACCCGCUGAACUUAAGCAUAUCAAUAA